GAUAACUUCGGGAAACCGAAGCUAAUACCGGAUAGGAUCUUCUCCUUCAUGGGAGAUGAUUGAAAGAUGGUUUCGGCUAUCACUUACAGAUGGGCCCGCGGUGCAUUAGCUAGUUGGUGAGGUAACGGCUCACCAAGGCAACGAUGCAUAGCCGACCUGAGAGGGUGAUCGGCCACACUGGGACUGAGACACGGCCCAGACUCCUACGGGAGGCAGCAGUAGGGAAUCUUCCGCAAUGGACGAAAGUCUGACGGAGCAACGCCGCGUGAGUGAUGAAGGCUUUCGGGUCGUAAAACUCUGUUGUUAGGGAAGAACAAGUACGAGAGUAACUGCUCGUACCUUGACGGUACCUAACCAGAA
Molecule: ribosomal RNA, 360 nt
Filed under: Priestia aryabhattai
Lineage: Bacteria; Bacillati; Bacillota; Bacilli; Caryophanales; Bacillaceae
Description: bacterial SSU rRNA
Rfam family: Bacterial small subunit ribosomal RNA
Source: RNAcentral